UCAGGCACUACAACACGUGCACUGGUACAUCAGGAGCUGCAUCAGAUUGCAUCAGGUCUGCUGAGCCUGGAGCUUCCUUUCACAAGCUUUGGGACUAGAGGGAAAAGGGAAACCCACGGAUCAGAGGCUUCAUUACGUGCCACAUUCUGCUACAUUUCCACAUCACCUGGUACCUAAAGCGGUCCUAUCUGGUCACCAGAGCUACCCACACAAGUCCCAGCACAUCCUGAAGCACGUGUCCCGCUUCUACUCCAGCCAAGCCUGUGUUCCAGGAGGACGGUGGUUUUAAGCACUUUGCUGAAGCCAGCUGCCAGAUUUGUGAUGGAGAGAACCUUUCCGGAGCGUGUAGAAGGCUCCUGCGUUGUUCUGCUCAAAGCUGCUCCUGUUGGAGUGAAGCUCACCUGCUGCAAAGAGCCUGCACAAGGCCUCGCACCACUCAGGAGCACAAAUGGAGCUACAUUUGACCCUCUUACAGCUCUUGUUCAGAUAAAGCUCCGGAUGACUCCAGCGGGAUGCCUGCCUGAGUGGAGACUGUGCUACCUGCUCCUCGCUGUGGUUACAAGGUCGCUGGGAGAAAGGUAGUGUCAGACCACAAGGAAAUAUUUUCAAAAUUGCUUCUGCAGUCCUAUUCAGGCACUAACAGCC
RNAcentral lists this long non-coding RNA (645 nucleotides) under Calidris pugnax (ruff). RNAcentral describes it as "lncRNA (ENSCPUG00000018206.1)". Lineage: Eukaryota; Metazoa; Chordata; Aves; Charadriiformes; Scolopacidae. The record is from RNAcentral.